GAUGAACGCUGGCGGCGUGCCUAAUACAUGCAAGUCGAGCGAACAGACGAGGAGCUUGCUCCUCUGACGUUAGCGGCGGACGGGUGAGUAACACGUGGAUAACCUACCUAUAAGACUGGGAUAACUUCGGGAAACCGGAGCUAAUACCGGAUAAUAUAUUGAACCGCAUGGUUCAAUAGUGAAAGACGGUUUUGCUGUCACUUAUAGAUGGAUCCGCGCCGCAUUAGCUAGUUGGUAAGGUAACGGCUUACCAAGGCAACGAUGCGUAGCCGACCUGAGAGGGUGAUCGGCCACACUGGCACUGAGACACGGUCCAGACUCCUACGGGAGGCAGCAGUAGGGAAUCUUCCGCAAUGGGCGAAAGCCUGACGGAGCAACGCCGCGUGAGUGAUGAAGGUCUUCGGAUCGUAAAACUCUGUUAUUAGGGAAGAACAAAUGUGUAAGUAACUAGGCACGUCUUGACGGUACCUAAUCAGAAAGCCACGGCUAACUACGUGC
Molecule: ribosomal RNA, 498 nt
Filed under: uncultured bacterium
Lineage: Bacteria
Description: partial 16S ribosomal RNA
Rfam family: Bacterial small subunit ribosomal RNA
Source: RNAcentral